GUACAGUGGCAUCUUGAAGGAGGGAAUGAGGGGGCUUUCACUCAUGGUUUCAAACUAGAUUUCUGUUAAGGAUUCAUUGCCAGGUCUUCCUUUUAGGUGCAACCAGGUCACAGGCAGACAUUUUCCUCAAUUCUCACUCGAAAGCAUCAACACCCCAAAGAGAAGCCAUGAAGCCAGUGAUCGUGCUGUACGUUGCGCUGAUGAUGAUUGCACUGGUGUGCAAUGCUUAUGCUGCAUGUGAGAAUGGAUGGUGUACCAAGAGAUGUGGUCGUAAUGAAUAUAGAGACCACAAUUCAUACUGUGGGGGUGGAAAUAUAUGCUGUGUUGAAAAAGGCAAUUGAAGAACAUCCGUGAAGGAAGACUGUGUGGAUCAACCAACAUGCAUUGUUGUUUUUUUUCUUCUUCCAUUUAAGUUGACACAAGACAUGGAGUAAUCAUGAUUUGUGUUUAAGCCUGUUUGAUGCCAGUUUGAAUAAAAUUAAAUUUCAUAACUAUGAGUACCUGUGCAUUCAUGUCAUAUUUUUUAGAUUUAGAAAUACACAUGAGGGUUUUACAGAAAUUAUUUGAAUGUGCUUAUUCUAUUGUCCAGGGACCUUGACAUCAUAC
Long non-coding RNA from Clupea harengus (Atlantic herring), 606 nucleotides. Lineage: Eukaryota; Metazoa; Chordata; Actinopteri; Clupeiformes; Clupeidae. The record is from Ensembl.